RNAcentral lists this ribosomal RNA (1498 nucleotides) under uncultured bacterium. Its description in RNAcentral is "bacterial SSU rRNA". It matches the Rfam family "Bacterial small subunit ribosomal RNA". The record is from RNAcentral.
AUUCGAUUAGAGUUUGAUCCUGGCUCAGAUUGAACGCUGGCGGCAUGCCUAACACAUGCAAGUCGAACGAGGUGUACUUGUACAUCUAGUGGCGGACGGGUGAGUAAUACGUAGGAAUCUACCUUGAAGUGGGGGAUAACCCGGGGAAACCCGGACUAAUACCGCAUGAUCUCUUCGGAGCAAAGCAGGGGAUCGUAAGACCUUGCGCUUUUAGAGGAGCCUACGUCUGAUUAGCUAGUUGGUGGGGUAAUGGCCUACCAAGGCGACGAUCAGUAACUGGUCUGAGAGGACGACCAGUCACACCGGAACUGAGACACGGUCCGGACUCCUACGGGAGGCAGCAGUGGGGAAUAUUGGACAAUGGGCGAAAGCCUGAUCCAGCAAUGCCGCGUGUGUGAAGAAGGCCUUCGGGUUGUAAAGCACUUUAGGCUGGAAAGAAAAAACUCGGAUUAAUACUUCGAGUCCUGACGGUACCAGCAGAAUAAGCACCGGCUAACUCUGUGCCAGCAGCCGCGGUAAUACAGAGGGUGCGAGCGUUAAUCGGAUUUACUGGGCGUAAAGCGUGUGUAGGUGGUUCAUUGCGUCGGUUGUGAAAUCCCCGGGCUUAACCUGGGAACUGCUUCCGAUACGGGUGGACUAGAGUACGGUAGAGGGUGGUGGAAUUUCCGGUGUAGCGGUGAAAUGCGUAGAUAUCGGAAGGAACAUCAAUGGCGAAGGCAGCCACCUGGGCCUGUACUGACACUGAGACACGAAAGCGUGGGGAUCAAACAGGAUUAGAUACCCUGGUAGUCCACGCCGUAAACGAUGAGAACUUGACGUCGGCUUGCUUAGCGAGUCGGUGUCGUAGCUAACGCGAUAAGUUCUCCGCCUGGGGAGUACGGCCGCAAGGUUGAAACUCAAAGGAAUUGACGGGGGCCCGCACAAGCGGUGGAGUAUGUGGUUUAAUUCGAUGCAACGCGAAGAACCUUACCUGGUCUUGACAUGUCUGGAAUCCUGCAGAGAUGCGGGAGUGCCUUCGGGAAUCAGAACACAGGUGCUGCAUGGCUGUCGUCAGCUCGUGUCGUGAGAUGUUGGGUUAAGUCCCGCAACGAGCGCAACCCUUGCCCUUAGUUGCCAUCAUUCAGUUGGGCACUCUAAGGGGACCGCCGGUGACAAACCGGAGGAAGGUGGGGAUGACGUCAAGUCAUCAUGGCCCUUAUGACCAGGGCUACACACGUACUACAAUGGUGCAUACAGAGGGUCGCCAAGCCGCGAGGUGGAGCUAAUCCCAGAAAGUGUAUCGUAGUCCGGAUCGGAGUCUGCAACUCGACUCCGUGAAGUCGGAAUCGCUAGUAAUCGCCGAUCAGCAUUUGCGGCGGUGAAUACGUUCCCGGGCCUUGUACACACCGCCCGUCACACCAUGGGAGUUGGCUGCACCAGAAGCCGGUAGUCUAACCGCAAGGGGGACGCCGUCCACGGUGUGGUCAAUGACUGGGGUGAAGUCGUAACAAGGUAACCA